This 415-nucleotide ribosomal RNA is filed under the name uncultured bacterium. RNAcentral's name for it is "bacterial SSU rRNA". It matches the Rfam family "Bacterial small subunit ribosomal RNA", at positions 28 to 433 of the family's 1533-position model. The record is from RNAcentral.
GAUGAACGCUGGCGGCGUGCCUAACACAUGCAAGUCGAACGAAGCGACUCAAAGUUUUCGGACAGAGAGUUGACUGAGUGGCGGACGGGUGAGUAACGCGUGGGUAACCUGCCUCAUACAGGGGGAUAACAGUUAGAAAUGACUGCUAAUACCGCAUAAGCGCACAGUACCGCAUGGUACAGUGUGAAAAGCCGAGACGGUAUGAGAUGGACCCGCGUCUGAUUAGCUAGUUGGUGGGGUAACGGCCCACCAAGGCGACGAUCAGUAGCCGACCUGAGAGGGUGAUCGGGCCACGAUUGGAACUGAGAAACGGUCCAAAUCCUACGGGAGCAGCAGUGGGGAAUAUUGGGCAAUGGGCGCAAGCCUGACCCAGCAACGCCGCGUGAAGGAAGAAGGUCUUCGGGUUGUAAACUUC